GGGGGUGUAGUUUAGUGGUGAUAACGCUGGUUAAAUUACCCUAGCCUAGUGCUAGGGACUGGGAGCUUCGGCACCAGCAUAUAAUAAUCAGAGGUCCUGGGUUCGAAUCCCUGCACACCUA
RNAcentral lists this transfer RNA (121 nucleotides) under Metarhizium anisopliae. RNAcentral's name for it is "tRNA-OTHER". It matches the Rfam family "tRNA". From Rfam's summary of the family: Transfer RNA (tRNA) molecules are approximately 80 nucleotides in length. The record is from RNAcentral. Lineage: Eukaryota; Fungi; Ascomycota; Sordariomycetes; Hypocreales; Clavicipitaceae. RNAcentral also lists the same sequence under 2 other names.